This 445-nucleotide ribosomal RNA is filed under the name uncultured bacterium. RNAcentral describes it as "bacterial SSU rRNA". It matches the Rfam family "Bacterial small subunit ribosomal RNA", at positions 330 to 792 of the family's 1533-position model. The record is from RNAcentral.
ACCAGACUCCUACGGGAGGCAGCAGUGGGGGAUAUUGCACAAUGGGGGGAACCCUGAUGCAGCGACGCCGCGUGGGUGAAGAAGCGCCUCGGCGCGUAAAGCCCUGUCAGCAGGGAAGAAAAUGACGGUACCUGAAGAAGAAGCCCCGGCUAACUACGUGCCAGCAGCCGCGGUAAUACGUAGGGGGCAAGCGUUAUCCGGAUUUACUGGGUGUAAAGGGGGCGCAGACGGCGAUGCAAGCCAGGAGUGAAAGCCCGGGGCCCAACCCCAGGCCUGCUCUUGGAACUGCGUGGCUGGAGUGCAGGAGGGGCAGGCGGAAUUCCUGGUGUAGCGGUGAAAUGCGUAGAUAUCAGGAGGAACACCGGUGGCGAAGGCGGCCUGCUGGACUGCAACUGACGUUGAGGCCCGAAAGCGUGGGGAGCAAACAGGAUUAGAUACCCUAGUA